Molecule: unclassified non-coding RNA, 337 nt
Filed under: uncultured fungus
Lineage: Eukaryota; Fungi
Description: sequence contains ITS1
Source: RNAcentral
GUUUUUUAUUUGUAUUUGUUCAUGAUCAAGUAUUAAAACAUAACAUUGGUGUUUUUUUUGGAACAAAGGCUGACGGCCCAAAAGACCUCUGGGGGUACCAACGGAAAGCCAGAAAACACUGUAAAACACUGGUUCAUGCUCUCUCCAUAACCCCACCAAAAAGUCCCAUCCAUUGUUUUGGACUCUUGGAGGGCCGCCAAAAUACGGUAAACAGUUCACAAGGGUGUGGAAAGAUAGCUGGGGCCAAGAAGCGCGGUUUGAAGUCGACACCCUCUUGGCCUUGGCAGCCACUUUUGGGUAUUCAGUAAUGAUCCAACCGCAGGUUCACCUACGGUUA